Molecule: RNA transcript, 1144 nt
Organism: Zea mays
Lineage: Eukaryota; Viridiplantae; Streptophyta; Magnoliopsida; Poales; Poaceae
Exons: 2
Source: RefSeq, marked validated
ACACCAACACAUACCAAGCUCUCUCUACUCUCUCAAGAUGUAGCUCUAGUAGUAGUUAGUCUUGGUGGGAGCUCUGCUAGGAGUCUGGAGUAGUCUUCAAGAGUCUGAAUUAUCUACAUGAGCAUAAGAAAUAUCAACAGAAAGCAGGCCCUAAAAGAUACCAAACCUAUAGUUGACUCGAAAGCAAUGUCUUUGGAAAAUGAAAGCGCACUACAGACGGUGCACGUAAGAAGAGGUGGAAGAAAAUGUCAAUCCUAUGGGAGCUAUCUUACUGGAAAGACUUAGAGGUCCACCACAACAUCGAUGUCAUUCACGUGAAAAAGAAUGUUUGUGGGAGUUUGCUUGGGACACUCAUGAGUGAUAGAUGGAAAACCAAGGACCAUGCAAAAGCACGAGCUAACCUUGAAGAAUUGGACAUAAGGCCCGAGCUCUAUCCUGACAGUACCAGUGCCCAACCACCUUUAUCCAGAAUAUAUUGCCAGAAAAAACCCGAAUGGCAAUCAUGAACCUCUACUUAUUUAAUGUAAUCUCUCAGAAGGUCCUUGAUGAAGGAUCACUGGAUGAUCAUGAAAUGAACAUGUGUGAGAUGAUGUGUCUUCCCGAGCUUACUUCUCGCUGACUUUCUUUGACAUAUCCAUCCUAUAUUUGGUUAAGGAGAUCAGGUUUCUUGCACCGAUGUUCCUCCACCACAUGUAUCUGUACGAGAGAUUUAUGAGUACUCUGAAUAUCCAAACAAAAGAAGACUUUUGAUAAUCAGAGUACAAACCCCUUUGUUCAGUUGUGUGCUAACAAACUUAGAGAGUGAUCUCUACCCUUUUGCUCUUGUGUUUUCCUUCGUGGAGAUUACAGAAGCGACCGCAUCAUCGCCACCCAAUCAGUGCUCCUGAUCCAUUGAUUCUAGGUUGCGUAGGUUGGUUCUUUGAGAGUGUGAUUGGGUGAAUCCUUGGUUCAGGCUGCUAUAUAGACAUAGUGAUUGGCUCCUUGUGCAUGUACUCAAGUUGCACUAGUUGUCGCUGCUUGCAGCAAGUUAUUGGUUCUUCUUUAGCUAGUUAUAAACAUCAGAAUCCUAUGUCUGUAUUUUAGCGUACUUAUUGUACUCAUCAACAUCAUCCAUGACAUCAACUCUGAUAAUACUUUGUUUCCC